AUUUGGGUCCUUGGUACAGCAUCUUGAGUGCUGGUGUCAUACUGGCUCAGUUCAAAGGUCAGCUCUACUUCUUACUCCCUGGGUAAGUUUCUUACCCUGUCUGUGCUUUCAUUUCUUCAAUGAUAAAAGGGAACAAUAACAGUAUAAGCCCAGGAUGUGAGGAUUAAUGAAAUGACACAUCAAAAUUAGUUAGCACAGGGCCUGGUACACAGUAUAAGCUAAGUAAUUAUAUGUAUUAUUUAUGAUUAACAUUUGGUGAUAAAAAAGAAACUAAGCUGACAGAGAAGACAAUAGCUCUUAUAAUCUGAUUCUUAAUGAUUCAAGUACCUAGAUGAUGUUCAGGAAAUGUUUGUAAAUAGAGUCAUGAAUUCAAGCUCUAGAAUAUGUGCUGAGAAGGUGUGGUGCCUGGGAGUGGUGCUACCUCUCUGCCUGCUCAAGCAUCAGUGUUGGUACCAAUGGAGCCAGCUGGGUUUCAGGGGCUUACAGCAUAUGGAUGGAACAUAUCAGAAGUGGAACUGAUAUAUCUGUACAUUUAGGAAACACUACCUGAGUCCCACCAUGAUGCCAGGGAUUUGGCUAGGUGAUGGGGAGGCAGUGAUGGUGGGUCACAUCCAUUAGUCCCUAAGAUGCCAUUUUCAGACACUGCCUUGUCAUGCUAUAUGUACAAUCUAGCCACUUAACUGAUGAAAGAACAGUUCAAUGUCAUUCCUCACUGCUGCUAUUCUCUCUUCUCAAGAGAAAUAUAAUUGUUGUCCUUUCCAGAUAUAUAGCAAACUUCCUCUAAAAGUCAUUUCUCAUGACAAUUACAACUGUAAUACAUGUAAACCUCUCUACACAACCAGCGUGCCAAUCUAAUACUUUAAAUCCUGGCACUUAUUAGGUCCUAAACUUUAAGUUUCUUGCCACUUUAGGAUGACAAAACUGCCAUAAAACAUAUAUUUUUUUCAUACUGAAAAUAUUAUGUUAAUAAUAAUAUGUGUUCUACAUUUAGGCCAGAAUUCUUAAAAUCAUUCUAUUGCUUAUCAAAUAAAAUGACAUGAUACUAUACAUAGAAAAUCCUAAAGACUCCACAUGAAAACCACCAGAACUGAUAAAUGAAUUCAGCAAGAUAGAAGAUUAACAUACAGAAAUCGGUUGCCAAGUGCACUUCUUUACACUUACAGUGAAAUAUCAGAAAGAGAAUGUAAACAAAUAAUCCCUCUAAAAUCACAUUAAAAAAAAAAAAAAAGGCAUCUUAGAAAUUAACCUUACCAAGGAGGUGAAAGACAUAUGCCGAGAACUACAAAACAUUUUUAAUAAAGGAAAUUGAAGCUGGUCAAAGAAACAGAAAAAUAACCCAUGCUCCUGAAUUAGAAGAAUUAAUAUUGUUAAAACAGUCAUACUACCCAAAGCAACCUACAGAUUUAAUGCAAUUCCUAUCAAGUUACCCAUGACAUUUCUCACAUAACUAGAACUAAUAAUCCUAAAAUUUAUGUGGAACCAUAAAAGCCCCAGAACUGCUAAAGCAAGCCUCAGUAAACAGAACAAAGCAGGAGGCUUAACCCUCCCAAACUUCAUACAAUACUACAAAGCUACAUCAAUCAAAGUGGCAUAUCAAACACAGACACUUAUGGCAACAAAUAUUAUAAGUAGCUCAUUCUUUUUUUUAAUAUAUUUAAAUUUAUUUUUGGUUUUUGGCUGCACCUGCAGCAUGCAGAAGUUCCCGGGCCAGGGAAUCAAACCCACACCAUGGCAGUGACAAUGCCACAUCCUUAACGUACUGAGUCACCAGGGAACUCCCACAGCUCAUUCCUAUAAUAUAAAAAUAUCUAGAACUUUUUAUUUACAAGUGAAAAAAGGGCAAAAAUAGCAGGUGAUUGGUAUACAUUCUCAGGAUUUUUCUCAUACAAAAUAUUUAAUGGAUAACAGAUAACCUAGUAAAUACUGUGCUUAAGAUUUAAAGUAAUCCAUAUUACAAAGUUACAUUUCUUGAGAUGUAAUAAUUAAAGAAUUCUGAAAUCUAGUAUCUGCCUAACCAAGCUUGGGCACAUGAACUCCUUACAAAGUUUUUCCAUAGAAUGAAAAUUUGCCAUUUUACAUAUACACCAGAAAUUGACUUAAAAAUAAGGAACAUUUUAGAAACACAAGGCCUCAAAAUAUUUCAGAAUCUAACAAUGUCUGUUAUUAUUAUUAUUUUCUCCAUUCUCCUUUGUUACUGAUCAGCAAUUUUAACUUCGUCAGCAUUCCAGACAGGACAAAUUCAAAGAAUUAUGGCAAUUCCUCAAUUGCUAUUUUAAUGUCAGACAGAAGCAGGCAAUGAUCUUUACUGAUAAGUUACUUCAGGUCCAGAGAGAUAUGAAGCAACCUAAUCAAGCUUGUCCUUUCUAAAGGCAGAUACGGAACAGGACUCAAGUCUUCCAAAUACCCAAAGACACAAAUAUUAGUAAUAGUAUGAAAAUUACUAAGUAUUAAUAGUCUGAGGAUGACAUUAAAUUUCUUAAACCUUUCACAACACGUUGAGCAAACAGGAAAUACCAUCCGGAAGACAUUACAGAAGUUUCAUAGUAGAUCCUCUGAUAUUUUGCUAGCCAGCUUUAUUGCCCAUGUGCCAUCCUAGCAUUUCAGUGAGACAGGAGAGAACAGUGCCACUGGAGGUUUAUUCAAAGGGACAACCUCGGCUCAGAGGCCUAGACUUUAAAAUUAAUAGUAGCUAGCAUACCUACCUUUAUUUAAACCACAUUAGACCACCAGAAAUCAUAACUUGCGGAGUAAUAAACUCAUGAGCUUUUACUUUAUGUUAUUUUCCUGUUACUCCACCUCUCCUAAAAUGAUCACAUUAAAAGUUAUUUUUGAACUGCUCUGCCGUGAGUGGCUCUAGGAAAACACAUGUUUAGCGUUCCACAGCGGUAUGAAUGAUAAGAAAUACCUUCCCAGCAGGAAAAUAAAAGGUGGACUGGGCAAGGUUUUCAGGGACAGUCCCCUCAUCCUCCUGGAUAUAAUGACAUCCAGUUAGUUUGCUUCACGCUAGAAAAGAGCAGUCUGGAUAUUCAUUCCAAGCCAAAUUACAAAACUUGUGCCCGGGGUCCAAAUCUUUCUUUUAUCUUAUUUUAAAAUGAAAAGGCAAUAAUUCGGAGGAAAAAUUAUUUGUGAAGAGGAGGAACAGUUGUCUGGAAGUUUUCAAGGAAGGAAGUACUCUAAGAUGCAUCAGACUGAAAUCACUAUCAAAUUCUCACACGACUUGAAUUCACCCUACAGCGCCCUGAAAGGCCCCCAGAAAUUCCUUCAGCGUCGGUGAGACUGGGGUUCCCGGACCUGCUUAACAGGCCAGGGUGCGGGCCAGUUCCCCGUUUGACCUUGUAGCAAUUUUCUGGGCAGGAAAUCAGUCAAAUCUGGUGAAAAGGAACGCGGGGAAGGCGAGCCCUAGCUCCAACCCCCCGCGGAGCUCGGUCAAGUACAGGGAUGAGGGAUCCUCACAGCGGAGUCCGAGGGCCCACCGCCCUCGGGAGCCAAGCGGGGAGCGCGCGUUCACAGCGCCAGCACCGAGAGCUGGGUCGGGCCUCGGACCCGACGGGCCGAGCUCCUGGUCGGACGAUAGCCCCUCGUUUCCCGGUGUAGCUCCCGGUAUCCCGGGGCUGGCGGGCGCCGCUUACCUCGACGGCUGUGCACGGCGGCGCGGGGACUUGGUGGGGUCUCGGCGGGGACUUGCGGGCGCGGCGGGGAGCGGCCGGCGUCGGGGCGGCGGCCGGGAAGGCGACGCUGUGCACUCUGUAGCGCCCGGGCUC
Molecule: long non-coding RNA, 3761 nt
Filed under: Sus scrofa (pig)
Lineage: Eukaryota; Metazoa; Chordata; Mammalia; Artiodactyla; Suidae
Description: lncRNA (ENSSSCG00000044907.1)
Source: RNAcentral